RNAcentral lists this transfer RNA (72 nucleotides) under Coleonyx variegatus. RNAcentral describes it as "tRNA-Ser specifying UCN codons". It matches the Rfam family "tRNA". From Rfam's summary of the family: Transfer RNA (tRNA) molecules are approximately 80 nucleotides in length. Their secondary structure includes four short double-helical elements and three loops (D, anti-codon, and T loops). Lineage: Eukaryota; Metazoa; Chordata; Lepidosauria; Squamata; Eublepharidae. RNAcentral also lists the same sequence under 1 other name. The record is from RNAcentral.
AAGAGAGAUGCAUUGGUGGUUGUGCAGUUAGUUUGAAACUAAAAGGAGGGGGUUCGAUUCCCUCGUCUCUUG